AGCAGCCGCGGUAAUUCCAGCUCCAAUAGCGUAUAUUAAAGUUGUUGCAGUUAAAAAGCUCGUAGUUGAACCUUAGGCCCGCGCGGGCGGUCCGUCCUCAGGGCGAGCACUGCCUCGUCGCGGGUCUCACCUUCUGGCGAGCGUGGAUGCCAUUCACUUGGUGUCUGCGGGAACCAGGACCUUUACCUUGAAAAAUUAGAGUGCUCAAAGCGGGCUCUUACGCUUGAAUACAUUAGCAUGGAAUAAUGAAAUAGGACGACUGUUCUAUUUUGUUGGUUUCCGGGACGGUCGUAAUGAUUAAUAGGGAUAGUUGGGGGCAUUCGUAUUCAAUUGUCAGAGGUGAAAUUCUUGGAUUUAUUGAAGACGGACUACUGCGAAAGCAUUUGCCAAGGAUGUUUUCAUUAAUCAAGAACGAAAGUUGGGGGAUCGAAGACGAUCAGAUACCGUCGUAGUCUCAACCAUAAACUAUGCCGACUGGGAAUCGGGCGAUGUUAUUUUUCGUGACUCGCUCGGCGCCCC
Molecule: ribosomal RNA, 519 nt
Filed under: uncultured Paraglomus
Lineage: Eukaryota; Fungi; Glomeromycota; Glomeromycetes; Paraglomerales; Paraglomeraceae
Description: SSU rRNA
Rfam family: Eukaryotic small subunit ribosomal RNA
Source: RNAcentral